This is a microRNA precursor of Gallus gallus (chicken), 58 nucleotides long. The record is from Ensembl. Lineage: Eukaryota; Metazoa; Chordata; Aves; Galliformes; Phasianidae.
AUUGAUUCAUUCUUUGCUCUUCUAAUUAUAAGAGGAAGUGCAAAUUAUGAAUAAUGGA